Vespa mandarinia (Asian giant hornet) is the source of this 351-nucleotide long non-coding RNA. NCBI's taxonomy places the organism in Eukaryota, Metazoa, Arthropoda, Insecta, Hymenoptera, Vespidae. The record is from RefSeq and is a predicted model, not a curated record.
GAAUGAGGACUUUGUCGUCAUCGAAUAAACACAGAAAGAAGUAGACGAGGAACGUGAAUGCGUGCGUGAGCAGAGACACGUAUGCCGAUAGACAUUGUGUUAAAAAGAAAAACGAAAUUGCCGCUGCACCUAACGGAAUAUUCGUACAUCAGAUCUCAAAACCGGUUUACCAUCAGCAGGCAAACGCUUUUGUUUCGAUCGAAACUUCGAACUAUUAUAGCAAGAUGUCCCAUAUAUCGACGAAAUUGAUGACAAAUUUAUGAGAUACGAUAAGACAAAGGAAACGAUUUUAUAAUUGUAUAUUCCUAUUAAGAAAGUUUUUCAAAGUUAUGUGUAACAAAAAAAAAAAAA